RNAcentral lists this ribosomal RNA (253 nucleotides) under uncultured bacterium. Its description in RNAcentral is "partial 16S ribosomal RNA". It matches the Rfam family "Bacterial small subunit ribosomal RNA", at positions 524 to 776 of the family's 1533-position model. The record is from RNAcentral.
UACGUAGGUGGCAAGCGUUGUCCGGAAUUAUUGGGCGUAAAGCGCGCGCAGGCGGCCUUUUAAGUCUGAUGUGAAAGCCCACGGCUCAACCGUGGAAGGUCAUUGGAAACUGAAAGGCUUGAGUACAGAAGAGGAAAGCGGAAUUCCACGUGUAGCGGUGAAAUGCGUAGAGAUGUGGAGGAACACCAGUGGCGAAGGCGGCUUUCUGGUCUGUAACUGACGCUGAGACGCGAAAGCGUGGGGAGCAAACAGG